GUCGUUCGCUCUCUUUGCUCGUCUCUUCUCUGCGGCCGCCUACUUCAAUCUCAUCGCUCGAAGAUGAAGUUCAAUAUCGCGAAUCCGACUACUGGAUGCCAGAAGAAGCUGGAAAUCGAUGAUGACCAGAAACUCCGUGCUUUUUUUGACAAGAGGAUCUCUCAGGAAGUCAGUGGAGAUUCCCUCGGGGAGGAAUUCAAGGGCUAUGUUUUCAAGAUUAUGGGAGGAUGU
RNAcentral lists this unclassified non-coding RNA (231 nucleotides) under Hevea brasiliensis (rubber tree). The record is from RNAcentral. Lineage: Eukaryota; Viridiplantae; Streptophyta; Magnoliopsida; Malpighiales; Euphorbiaceae.